This 857-nucleotide long non-coding RNA is filed under the name Papio anubis (olive baboon). Its description in RNAcentral is "lncRNA (ENSPANG00000046878.1)". The record is from RNAcentral. Lineage: Eukaryota; Metazoa; Chordata; Mammalia; Primates; Cercopithecidae.
UACUAAAAAUACAAAAAAAUUAGCCGGGCAUGGUGGCGGUCGCCUGUAGUCCCAGCUACUUGGGAGGCUGAGGCAGGAGAAUGGCGUGAACCUGGGAGGCGGAGCUUACAGUGAGCUGAGAUCGUGCCACUGCGCUUCAGCCUGGGCGACAUAGCAAGACUCCACCUCAAAAAAAAAAAAAAAAGAAAAUUAUCCUGUGAAUGCACCCAGUAAUAUGACAUAUAAUUUGACAACCAGUGGUGAUAAAUAAUUGCUCUAAGUUUCUUCAGUUUUUUUUUUUUUUUAAGAUUUCCUUCCUACCAGUAUUCUGUCUGUGAGACACCAGAUGUUCUAUAAGCCUGUGGUCUAUGGUAGCAUUUCCCCAGAGGAUUAUUCUUCUCAGAACUCUAGUGUCUCAUGAAAUGUCAUUAACUCUGGCAUGUAGCAGCAGAAGAGAGCAUUGGAAAGAGUCCAGUGGAGCAGAGAAAGGUGGGGAGUGGACGAUCAAGGACAGCCAGGUCUUGAUUUGGAAAAGAUGCCCGUGGAAAGGACACUCACUGAAAAGUGUGUUCUGUGCCCUGGAAGGCUGGAACUGGAAGGCUGACUACAUCAGGGACGACUCUCUUGCUGUAGGGCUUCUUGUUGAGUCCAGCCAAUGCCAGACAAAUGAGGGAAUCCAAAGGUGGGAGAAGAGCGAGAUGAAGGAACGGGCUCAGAGAAGUCACAGGUCCAAGGUCACACACCCAGUAAGGGGCAAAGCCUGGAUUAGAGGGUGGGCCUGUUUGGUUCCAAAGUUCAUUCCCUUUCAUGAGACCAACCGCCAUUUCGAAGAUCAUCAAAAGGGAAUUCUAGAACUCAGAACUUUUUGGCUUUUCUGA